CGGACGGGUGAGUAACGCGUGGGGAACCUGCCUUGCACCGGGGGAUAACACUUAGAAAUAGGUGCUAAUACCGCAUAAGCGCACAGAGCCGCAUGGCUCAGUGUGAAAAACUCCGGUGGUGCAAGAUGGACCCGCGUCUGAUUAGCUGGUUGGCGGGGUAACGGCCCACCAAGGCGACGAUCAGUAGCCUGCCUGAGAGGGUGAACGGCCACAUUGGGACUGAGACACGGCCCAAACUCCUACGGAAGGCAGCAG
This 255-nucleotide ribosomal RNA is filed under the name uncultured bacterium. RNAcentral's name for it is "partial 16S ribosomal RNA". It matches the Rfam family "Bacterial small subunit ribosomal RNA", at positions 99 to 354 of the family's 1533-position model. The record is from RNAcentral.